CCCCGCUCUUAUUCCCGCCUAUUGUCUUCUCUGAUAUGCAAAGCUACAGAGGCAAAAAUUGAUGAGAGUUCCUCAUGUGUGUUGCAUCAAAUCUCAACAUUUGAUAGCAAAAUCCCGUUUGAAUGCUUUUCUCCGUUCUAAUAUUCAUGUUCGUUCUCCCUCUCCUCACAGAGAGAACUACACAAAAUGGAACACAACCCACAGCUAUGUUCUCUCAAACCCUCUUCUUUCCCUACUAGAAAACUGCAAAACUCUCUCUCAAUUGAUGCAAAUCCAGGCCCAAAUCAUCUGCACUGGCUUCAUCACUGAUGGGUUCGCCUCAAGUCGUUUAAUUGCCUUUUGUGCAAUAUCAGAAUCAAGAAAUCUUGAUUAUUGCACCAAAAUUUUGUACAAUACACAAAACCCAAAUACGUUUUCUUGGAAUGUAGCAAUUAGAGGGUAUUUAGAGAGUGAAAACCCUAAGGAAGCAAUACUUUUGUAUAAAAGAAUGUUAAGAAGUGGAGGUUCUAGGCCUGAUAAUUACACUUUCCCUUUGUUGUUUAAAGUUUGUGCCAUUUUACUGUUGAACUGUUUGGGUCAUCAAAUUCGAGGGCAUGUACUGCUGUUAGGUUUUGAUAAGGAUAUUUUUGUGUAUAAUGCAAUGAUAUACAUGCUGGCUUCUAUGGGAGAAUUGGAGUUGGCACGUAAGGUGUUUGAUGAAGGUUGUGUAAGAAACUUGGUUUCUUGGAAUUCUUUGAUUAAUGGGUAUGCUAGGAGUGGGAAGGCAAACGAAGCUUUAAGUAUUUAUGAAGAAAUGAUCAAGGAGCAAGUAAAUUGGGAUGAGGUGACAAUGAUUGGUGUUAUAUCCUCCUGUGCACAGUUGGAGAAGUUGAAACUUGGGACAGAAUUUCAUCGAUAUAUUGAACAAAAUGGAUUGAAUUUAACAAUUCCUCUUGCCAAUGCGCUUAUGGAUAUGUAUGUAAAGUGUAGGGAUCUUGAGGCAGCAAAAGCAAUAUUUGAUAAUAUGACAGAGAAAACAGUUGUCUCAUGGACUACAAUGGUCGUUGGGUAUGCAAGGCAGGGGCUUUUGGAUACAGCUAUGAAGUUUUUUUGUGCAAUGCCGGAAAAAAAUGUUGUGACAUGGAAUGCCAUUAUUGGGAGUUAUGUUAAAGCCGAGCAUAGCAAGGCUGCAUUGUUUUUGUUUCAUGAAAUGCAAGCUAGCAAUAUUAAGCCUGAUGGAGUGACUAUGGUUCAUUGCUUAUCUGCAUGCUCCCAGCUUGGAGCACUUGAAAUUGGAAUAUGGGUUCAUCAUUAUAUUGAAAAGUACAAUAUUCCUGUUGAUGUUGUUUUAGGCACUGCUUUAGUUGAUAUGUAUGCAAAAUGUGGGAACAUUAUGAAGGCUCUUCAGGUUUUUCAUGAUAUGCCAGGAAGAAACUCUUUAACGUGGACAGCCAUAAUUUGUGGUUUAGCCCUUCAUGGGAAACCACAUGAUGCUAUAUCUUACUUCUCCAACAUGAUUGAUAUUGGAGUUAUGCCAGACGAGAUCACAUUUCUUGGAGUUCUAUCAGCUUGUUGUCAUGGAGGCUUAGUUGAAGAGGGUCGCAAGUAUUUUGCACAAAUGAAAUCCAAAUUUAACCUGUGUCCACAGCUUAAACACUACUCUUGUGUGGUCGACCUUUUGGGUAGGGCUGGUCUAUUGGAGGAGGCAGAACAGUUGAUUAAAGGCAUGCCAAUAGAGGCUGAUGCUGUCGUGUGGGGUGCAUUUUUCUUUGCUUGUCGAAUCCAUGGAAAUCUUUUGAUGGGAGAAAAAGCAGCUUUGAAGCUUCUUGAGCUGGACCCUAGUGACAGUGGAAUAUAUGUUCUGCUUGUGAAUAUGUACAGGGAAGCCAAUAUGUUGGAGGAGGCAGGGAAGGUGAGGAAGAUGAUGAGGGAAAGAGGAAUAGAGAAGAUUCCUGGUUCUAGUUCAAUUGAGGUGAAUGGCAUUGUUUAUGAGUUCAUUGUUAUGGAUAAAAUGCACUCUCAAUCCAUACAGAUUUAUGAAUGCUUAACCCAAUUAACAAGACAAAUGGAGUUAAUUGAAUGCAUUUCUGGUGUUCCAAGCUUUGGAGAUGAUUUUUCUCUCAGACUUUGAAGUUGAAACCGGGAGGCAUUCUUUGUAUUAGAUGCAAACAUAUGAAAAUUAUUGAUAGAGGAAAGCUAUAUCCAUCGAUGACACUGUUCAUCUGAGUUGUUUAUAUUUGAUUGAAUUCCACAUCGGGAAAAUCUCGCAAUUGAUCCCAAGAUUAAACUUAAAUAUUUUGAUUCAUUUCCAAAAUGGCUGUCUUGACUGAAACUGCAUGUGUUCUGGUCCAAACUUGAAUGAGAUCCUAAAGAGAACUGGAGAUUAUUCCAGCAGAAAUAUCCAAAUGCAAAAAAGUUGACCGUUUGUGUGAGAGAGGAACGGGCAGUGUGAUGCCAUUCUGUUACUCCCCCACCCACUCAGGUUUAUGUACUACUCUUCUCUUACAAAUAUCAAGACUUCUCUUUUCCCUUCUACUUCCCUGUGCCAUGUUCUCAAUUUCUCAUUUGUCUGAAUUCUUCCCCAGGCCACAUAUACUUAAUUGAAGCACACGUUUAGGAGGCUAUUCUAUGUAAAUAGAGAUCAGGAAACUGGGAUUAUGGGUGCUGGAACUGAUAUUCUGUAGACUUGUUUGGUUGUGGCGUUGGUGAUUUGACACUAGGAUAAGUAUCUUGCUGCGGGCAGGGAAGACAUACAGA
This 2736-nucleotide unclassified non-coding RNA is filed under the name Hevea brasiliensis (rubber tree). Lineage: Eukaryota; Viridiplantae; Streptophyta; Magnoliopsida; Malpighiales; Euphorbiaceae. The record is from RNAcentral.